Long non-coding RNA from Sarcophilus harrisii (Tasmanian devil), 298 nucleotides. RefSeq lists it as uncharacterized. Lineage: Eukaryota; Metazoa; Chordata; Mammalia; Dasyuromorphia; Dasyuridae. The transcript has 3 exons. The record is from RefSeq and is a predicted model, not a curated record.
CAGAUUAGCGUGUUUCUGAAGGGGCUCAUUUGAAACAGAUGGGGAAACUGAGUCAGACAGCAGUUAAAUGAUUUGCCCAGAGUACUAUCUUAUACAGGAUGUGAACUCACCUGAACUUCUGGACUCCAGUCCUCUGGACACCAGAUUAGGUGUAGGGAUAGGAUUUUACCCCUAAGAAAAGGACCCACAUGUGCAAAAAUGUUUGCAACAGCUCUUUCUGUUGUAGCAAAGAAUCGGAAAAGGAGUGGAUGUCUAUCAAUUGGGGAAUGGUUGAACAAGUUGUGGUAUGUGAAGGUAA